Molecule: small nucleolar RNA, 84 nt
Organism: Lupinus angustifolius (narrow-leaved blue lupine)
Lineage: Eukaryota; Viridiplantae; Streptophyta; Magnoliopsida; Fabales; Fabaceae
Rfam family: Small nucleolar RNA Z221/R21b
About the family: Z221 is a member of the C/D class of snoRNA which contain the C (UGAUGA) and D (CUGA) box motifs. Most of the members of the box C/D family function in directing site-specific 2'-O-methylation of substrate RNAs.
Source: Rfam
GGGCUGUGACGAUUCUUAGAGAUAGUCAUGCACCACUCUGAUUUUCAAUGCUGAUAAUUUUCUCAUACCCAUUUAUCUGAGCCC